Molecule: ribosomal RNA, 490 nt
Filed under: uncultured bacterium
Lineage: Bacteria
Description: partial 16S ribosomal RNA
Rfam family: Bacterial small subunit ribosomal RNA
Source: RNAcentral
AUUGAACGCUGGCGGCAGGCCUAACACAUGCAAGUCGAACGGUAACAGAAAGCAGCUUGCUGCUUUUCUGACGAGUGGCGGACGGGUGAGUAAUGUCUGUGAAACUGCCUGAUGGAGGGGGAUAACUACUGGAAACGGUAGCUAAUACCGCAUAACGUCGCAAGACCAAAGAGGGGGACCUUCGGGCCUCUUGCCAUCGGAUGUGCCCAGAUGGGAUUAGCUAGUAGGUGGGGUAACGGUUCACCUAGGCGACGAUCCCUAGCUGGUCUGAGAGGAUGACCAGCCACACUGGAACUGAGACACGGUCCAGACUCCUACGGGAGGCAGCAGUGGGGAAUAUUGCACAAUGGGCGCAAGCCUGAUGCAGCCAUGCCGAGUGUAUGAAGAAGGCCUACGGGUUGUAAAGUACUUUCAGCGGGGAGGAAGGGAGUAAAGUUAAUACCUUAGCUCAUUGACGUUACCCGAAGAAGAAGCACCGGCUAACUCCGUG